Molecule: long non-coding RNA, 846 nt
Organism: Teleopsis dalmanni
Lineage: Eukaryota; Metazoa; Arthropoda; Insecta; Diptera; Diopsidae
Exons: 2
Source: RefSeq, a predicted model, not a curated record
AUUGCCUUAUUUGCGUCUAAACUUUUUCCGCUUUUCCGUUUUUGCGUUUUUGCAUAAAACGCUGAAUAUUGCAAAACGUGCAUAUGAGUAUAAACAAUUACUUCCUUUGCAUAAACAAUUAUUUUUACUAUUAGUAUCCGCAAGUAUUCCAAGAAUGAUCAUCCAUUUCUGAGGAAUUCGGUUCGUAGUGGUUCGUAGCUCGUUUCGUUAACGUAAGCAAUAUUCUUACGAAAACCCCUAAACAAAACUGUUUGUCUUGCAUUAAUAUUUCAUAGUUAAAUCGGAAUUCUUGUGCCUUCAACUGUACUUAAUUAAUCGUUUAGUUUCAUUGCUUGUAAAUCUUUUUUUUCUUCUUCUUAAUUUAAAAGUGAUUAUUUAAUCUUUUUCGAGUGCAGUAUUUGCUUAUUCUAUUAUUUCGGUUUACAGCUUCACAUGUGUGCUCUGCUCUGCUCAGCUCAGCUCAGCUCUGCUCAACUCGUUCAGUUAUCUUCGAAGAUAAUCCCAACACAAAUUUGAAAUCUUUCGUUUUUAUUGCGUUAUCUGUGAAUUACGAAUUUAUUUGAAUUUUAUGCUGCCAGUGUCAAGCAAUAUGCACUUAAUUGCAGCAGGCCCAUCCCUUUACUGAGAAAGGGGGGCUCUUCAGUCACAUUGCACUGAAUCAUCAACAACAAAUGAUCAAAUGAUCAAAUGAACAGAUGAACAGAUGAAGCAACAAUAUUAGUAACAAUAAAACUAUUGUCAACAAAUGGAAUUGUGCAAAUGAACCACCUUGCUGCAGUGUGUCCUCAACUAUAACGUCCACAACAAGUAACGUCGAAAUAAUUGGAAAGAAAAUUAUAUAAAAAA